GGGGACGAUUGGUCUCGACGGGGACAGGCUGGAGCUUGAACCUGCGAGCCGGGGAUUACGGUUACCCCGUAACAAUCCGUAGUCACUUUUAAAGUGCCGAUGAUUAUUCAUAUGCACUAGCCGCUUAAUUAAGUAGGCGGCAAGUCGCGGGUGAGGCUGGCUGUCGUCUCCCCGUAGGCUUCAUUUAGACAGUCACUCCAAUCACAGCGCCGUCGGGUGGUUGGAUGUAUCAGGCGGUUUGGUGGAGAGGCAGCGCGUCGAUUCGCGGCCCUCCAC
RNAcentral lists this transfer-messenger RNA (276 nucleotides) under Bacteroidota bacterium. RNAcentral's name for it is "Bacteroidetes bacterium (marine metagenome) partial transfer-messenger RNA". It matches the Rfam family "transfer-messenger RNA", at positions 1 to 289 of the family's 374-position model. From Rfam's summary of the family: Bacterial tmRNA, also known as 10Sa RNA or SsrA, is named for its dual tRNA and mRNA-like properties. Its role is to liberate the mRNA from a stalled ribosome. Lineage: Bacteria; Pseudomonadati; Bacteroidota. The record is from RNAcentral.